GUCCAGACUCCUACGGGAGGCAGCAGUGAGGCCUCUUGGUCAAUGGGCUUCCGCCUGACCCCGCCAAGUCGCGUGCGGGAAGACUGCCCUCUGGGUUGUACCCCUCUUUUGUCAGGGCGCCACGCCGGCUCCGUGUAGCCGGACUGCGAGUACCUGACGAAAAAGCAUCGGCUCACUCCGUGCCAGCAGCCGCGGUAAUACGGCGGAUGCGAGCGUUCUCCGGAUUUAUUGGGUUUAAAGGGUGCGUAGGCGGAAUGCCAAGUCAGCGGUAAAAGCGCGGGGCUCAACCUCGGUCCGCCGUUGAAACUGGCGUUCUUGAGUGGGCGAGAAGGAUGCGGAGUGCGUGGUGUAGCGGUGAAAUGCAGAGAGAUCACGCAGAACGCCGAUUGCGAAGGCAGCAUACCGGCGCCCAACUGACGCUGAAGCACGAAAGCGGGGGUAUCGAACAGGAUUAGAUACCCCAGUAUCG
This 469-nucleotide ribosomal RNA is filed under the name uncultured bacterium. Its description in RNAcentral is "bacterial SSU rRNA". It matches the Rfam family "Bacterial small subunit ribosomal RNA", at positions 329 to 793 of the family's 1533-position model. The record is from RNAcentral.